CUCUCAUCUAAGGGCUAUUGUGGAUGGAUUUGCUCCUAUUAAAGAAGAGAGUCUUUACUUUGGUUUCUUGGCCGUCCCUGGAGGAGCAGCGUUGGACCUGAGAACCGAAAUCUUGAAUGCUGUGAUACCACGAAUACCUGAUUUAGUCUGUUUGCUAGCUCCAAGCAACACUUUGAAGAGAAGCACCGUUGUCAGUGAAGCUGGGAAACAGUUUAAAAAGCUCCUAACAACUGUUUGCACACUUUUUCCGAAGGUGUUUGUUGGAUUUCCCUCCAAGACUUAACGUGGAUCCUCAGGUUCAGUCUUUUUUACGACAAGAAUUCCACAGAGUAUCGGUGCAAUUGGGUGUGUCAUACAAAUCAGUUGCUGAGCUGUUUCCAAUGAGAAAACUGCACCUGUGGAGCAGAGAUGGGGUACACCUAAGUGACGAUGGGAUUAAAAUCCUAAAUAAAGCGAUAUAUGAGGCAUCACAUGAGCAGAUUCACAAGCCAACUGCAGAGACGGAGGUGAUGCCCACCAUGUCAUCCUCUCCUCCAAAGAUGCUUGAGCAGGUUCCCAAGCCAACUGCUGAAAAAGUCUCAAAGUUGCUUUGUACACCUGAGGUUCCAGUUGUGGCCCCACAAGAUCCCUUUGAAUGGAACAUUGUCGGAUCUCACAAUAAGACCUUUCCAACUACAAGUAAACAAGAAAGCUAUACUUCGCCAAAGAGAGUACUCCAUUUAAAGGUGGAAGAACAAAUGGACUUUUCUGUGGAGCUCAAUCCAAAGUGGUUUGAUGGUGAAAUGCUGGAAAUCUUGGGGGAUGGCAACACACCAACUUUUGGAGAGGCUUCUAUUGCGCCAUUUCAAAAAACAAAGGCUUCUCCAACUUCAAGCCAACAUCAAAGCUGUGCUUCACCAAAGAAAGCACCACAUCUACAGGCUGGUGGAAGAAGAAAUGGAGGAGUUUUUGGUGGAGCUGAAUCCAACUGCACCGUUUCAAAAAACAAAGGGCUGUGACAGAGUAGUGGCUGGUGAGGAAACUGUCACCAAAAACGGUAAGAGAAGUCUUCCUGAUCACACACUAAUUACAAGAGGUUCAUUUCACCAGGGCCAUGACCACUUUGGUUCAAAUAAAUCAAAACCGUGUGCCACCAAUACUGCUAUCGUGACUAAUGCCAUUCACAAUGCAAGAACCUGGUCAACAAAUGAUAUUGAUAGACUUUUGAUAAAAGGUGAUACAAUGUACACUUUCAUGAAGCAGCAUGACAUGAUUAGUGAUGUCAAUGGUAGUGGAUACUUUUUGUCGGGGAAUUACCCGCAAAUUACACAUUGGAUGGAAACGCAUUCACCCUACAAUAUUUAGACACACUUACUGGACAUGUUAACAUCCAAGAAUAUGAUCAGGCUCUUGACAAUGUUGCUAUGCCUCUAGAUAAGGCUUUACAAAGAGCACUCUAUGACAACAACAACGUCUGCCUAAUCACAAUUAUGAACAACACAUGUGCAGUUUUGAAGCAUGAGUCUGGGUUUUCAGUCUUUGAUCCACAUGCACGUGGUGAUGAUGGUGGUCUGGAUAUAAAUGGCUCCAGUAUUCUUGCACACCAUGCCACAGUUGAUUUAUUUAACAUGCACAUUACAAACCUAGUUCAGUCUUUAUUAGGUGAUGAUGAUCUGCAUGAUGCAGACCACUUGUUUGAAGUUACUGGUGUUAAGGUUAUUAGUGAUGGAACAUCUUCUGCUAGGACUGGUGGAAUGGAUACUGACAGUGUAGCAUUGCAUGACAGUUUUGCAAGUAUGGCAAGCCCAGAUGUGCAUGUUGUUUCUUUGGAACCAGGUCAUGUAACUGAUGACUCUGUGAAGAUAGUGUCUCACAGUAAUUGCAACAGCCUCACAUUUAGUCCACUGACAUUGACUGAAAAAAGGAGAAUCUGCACAAAGCUUAACCUUGUCCCAAGUUUUCAGGAAGAGAAGACUGUUACCAGCAUUACUGUAGAUCAACCUGUGCCUUGUGCAGCCACAAGUAUAAAGUCAGAUGGAAAUUAUUUUUUCCUAUGUUUUUAGUGGAUCUGAAGAAAAGCAUAGGUGUCUUCGUUAUGCUAUUGUAAAACAGAUUCUUGCAAAUCCAGAGAUGUACUCAAAAAUAAUUAGACCUCAGUACACAUCUGUGCAACAAUAUGUAACUACUUCAAAAAUGAAGUAUGUGGGAACUUGGGCCACUGAAGUGGAAAUUCAGGCUGCAGCAGAUUUCUUUCAUGUUGACAUACACAUAUAGUGCCGAAAAAUGGUUAAGAUAUACUUCCAGCAAUACAGAUGUCCAUUGCAAGGGACUCUACCUUAAUCAUUACAACAGUUGUCA
This is a long non-coding RNA of Fundulus heteroclitus (mummichog), 2337 nucleotides long. RefSeq lists it as uncharacterized. The transcript has 9 exons. Lineage: Eukaryota; Metazoa; Chordata; Actinopteri; Cyprinodontiformes; Fundulidae. The record is from RefSeq and is a predicted model, not a curated record.